RNAcentral lists this ribosomal RNA (457 nucleotides) under uncultured bacterium. RNAcentral describes it as "bacterial SSU rRNA". It matches the Rfam family "Bacterial small subunit ribosomal RNA", at positions 90 to 518 of the family's 1533-position model. The record is from RNAcentral.
GUAACGGACCGUACGGGCGAACCCUACGCCCUCCCGGCCCGGGGGACCGGAACAACUCCGAAACGGGGUAGGGCUAAUAACCGGACGUACGAAGUACUUGUGCCGCAUGGUACGGAUUUGAAAGAUGGCCUCUAUUUAUAAGCUAUCGCCGGGGGAUGGGCCUGCGUCCGAUUAGCUGGUUGGUGGGGUAACGGCCUACCAAGGCGACGAUCGGUAGCCGGUCUGAGAGGAUGAACGGCCACAUUGGGACUGAGACACGGCCCAGACUCCUACGGGAGGCAGCAGUGGGGAAUCUUCCGCAAUGGGCGCAAGCCUGACGGAGCAACGCCGCGUGAGUGAGGAAGUUCUUCGGAACGUAAAGCUCUGUUGUUCCUGACGAACCUCCCCUCUAUCAACAACGGAGGGGACUGACGGUAGGGAACGAGGAAGCCACGGCUAACUACGUGCCAGCCGCUGC